This 1148-nucleotide ribosomal RNA is filed under the name Salmonella enterica. RNAcentral's name for it is "partial 23S ribosomal RNA". It matches the Rfam family "Bacterial large subunit ribosomal RNA", at positions 711 to 1767 of the family's 2925-position model. The record is from RNAcentral. RNAcentral also lists the same sequence under 2 other names. Lineage: Bacteria; Pseudomonadati; Pseudomonadota; Gammaproteobacteria; Enterobacterales; Enterobacteriaceae.
AGACCCGAAACCCGGUGAUCUAGCCAUGGGCAGGUUGAAGGUUGGGUAACACUAACUGGAGGACCGAACCGACUAAUGUUGAAAAAUUAGCGGAUGACCUGUGGCUGGGGGUGAAAGGCCAAUCAAACCGGGAGAUAGCUGGUUCUCCCCGAAAGCUAUUUAGGUAGCGCCUCGUGAAUUCAUCUCCGGGGGUAGAGCACUGUUUCGGCUAGGGGGCCAUCCCGGCUUACCAACCCGAUGCAAACUGCGAAUACCGGAGAAUGUUAUCACGGGAGACACACGGCGGGUGCUAACGUCCGUCGUGAAGAGGGAAACAACCCAGACCGCCAGCUAAGGUCCCAAAGUCAUGGUUAAGUGGGAAACGAUGUGGGAAGGCCCAGACAGCCAGGAUGUUGGCUUAGAAGCAGCCAUCAUUUAAAGAAAGCGUAAUAGCUCACUGGUCGAGUCGGCCUGCGCGGAAGAUGUAACGGGGCUAAACCAUGCACCGAAGCUGCGGCAGCGAACGUAUCACCCAAGACAACUUUACGGAGUUGACGAUUGACGGAGCGAAGCGACGUCAAAGCGUUCAUUAAAGUCGAGUUGGCUUAGGGAUACGUUCGUUGGGUAGGGGAGCGUUCUGUAAGCCUGUGAAGGUGUGUCGUGAGGCAUGCUGGAGGUAUCAGAAGUGCGAAUGCUGACAUAAGUAACGAUAAAGCGGGUGAAAAGCCCGCUCGCCGGAAGACCAAGGGUUCCUGUCCAACGUUAAUCGGGGCAGGGUGAGUCGACCCCUAAGGCGAGGCCGAAAGGCGUAGUCGAUGGGAAACGGGUUAAUAUUCCCGUACUUGGUGUUACUGCGAAGGGGGGACGGAGAAGGCUAUGUUGGCCGGGCGACGGUUGUCCCGGUUUAAGCGUGUAGGUGUGUGUUCCAGGUAAAUCCGGUUCACUUUAACACUGAGGCGUGACGACGAGGCACUACGGUGCUGAAGCAACAAAUGCCCUGCUUCCAGGAAAAGCCUCUAAGCAUCAGGUAACACGAAAUCGUACCCCAAACCGACACAGGUGGUCAGGUAGAGAAUACCAAGGCGCUUGAGAGAACUCGGGUGAAGGAACUAGGCAAAAUGGUGCCGUAACUUCGGGAGAAGGCACGCUGACACGUAGGUGAAGUGAUU